CCUACGGGCGGCAGCAGUGGGGAAUAUUGGACAAUGGGGGCAACCCUGAUCCAGCCAUGCCGCGUGUGUGAAGAAGGCCCUCGGGUUGUAAAGCACUUUCAGUGAGGAAGAACGCCUGGUGGUUAAUACCCAUCAGGAAAGACAUCACUCACAGAAGAAGCACCGGCUAACUCCGUGCCAGCAGCCGCGGUAAUACGGAGGGUGCGAGCGUUAAUCGGAAUUACUGGGCGUAAAGCGCGCGUAGGUGGCUUGAUAAGCCGGUUGUGAAAGCCCCGGGCUCAACCUGGGAACGGCAUCCGGAACUGUCAAGCUAGAGUGCAGGAGAGGAAGGUAGAAUUCCCGGUGUAGCGGUGAAAUGCGUAGAGAUCGGGAGGAAUACCAGUGGCGAAGGCGGCCUUCUGGACUGACACUGACACUGAGGUGCGAAAGCGUGGGUAGCAAACAGGAUUAGAUACCCCGGUAGUC
Molecule: ribosomal RNA, 465 nt
Filed under: Vreelandella stevensii
Lineage: Bacteria; Pseudomonadati; Pseudomonadota; Gammaproteobacteria; Oceanospirillales; Halomonadaceae
Description: partial 16S ribosomal RNA
Rfam family: Bacterial small subunit ribosomal RNA
Source: RNAcentral